Molecule: ribosomal RNA, 361 nt
Filed under: uncultured bacterium
Lineage: Bacteria
Description: bacterial SSU rRNA
Rfam family: Bacterial small subunit ribosomal RNA
Source: RNAcentral
AACGAACGCUGGCGGCGUGGAUAAGACAUGCAAGUCGAACGGGACUAAAUCUGUAGCAAUACAGGUUUAGUUUAGUGGCGAACGGGUGCGUAACACGUGGGCAAUCUGCCGAGAAGUGGGGGAGUAGCUCGCCGAAAGGACGAAUUAAUACCGCAUAUGAUCAGUGAAGACAUCUUCACGACAUCAAAGACCGGGGCGAACCUGGCGCUUCUUGAUGAGCCCGCCGGCCUAUCAGCUAGUUGGUGAGGUAACGGCUCACCAAGGCUAUGACGGGUAGCUGGUCUGAGAGGACGACCAGUCACACUGGAACUGAGACACGGUCCAGACACCUACGGGUGGCAGCAGUCGAGAAUUUUUCUUC